CGACUUAACUGAACCUUCGGGGAACGUUAAGGGCGGCGAGCGGCGGACGGGUGAGUAAUGCCUGGGAAUAUGCCCUGAUGUGGGGGAUAACUAUUGGAAACGAUAGCUAAUACCGCAUAAUCUCUUCGGAGCAAAGAGGGGGACCCUCGGGCCUCUCGCGUCAGGAUUAGCCCAGGUGGGAUUAGCUUGUUGGUGAGGUAAUGGCUCACCAAGGCAACGAUCCCUAGCUGGUCUGAGAGGAUGAUCAGCCACACUGGAACUGAGACACGGUCCAGACUCCUACGGGAGGCAGCAGUGGGGAAUAUUGCACAAUGGGGGAAACCCUGAUGCAGCCAUGCCGCGUGUAUGAAGAAGGCCUUCGGGUUGUAAAGUACUUUCAGUAGGGAGGAAGGCAGUGUCGUUAAUAGCGGCAUUGUUUGACGUUACCUACAGAAGAAGCACCGGCUAACUCCGUGCCAGCAGCCGCGGUAAUACGGAGGGUGCGAGCGUUAAUCGGAAUUACUGGGCGUAAAGCGCAUGCAGGCGGUCUGUUAAGCAAGAUGUGAAAGCCCGGGGCUCAACCUCGGAACAGCAUUUUGAACUGGCAGACUAGAGUCUUGUAGAGGGGGGUAGAAUUUCAGGUGUAGCGGUGAAAUGCGUAGAGAUCUGAAGGAAUACCGGUGGCGAAGGCGGCCCCCUGGACAAAGACUGACGCUCAGAUGCGAAAGCGUGGGGAGCAAACAGGAU
RNAcentral lists this ribosomal RNA (726 nucleotides) under uncultured Photobacterium sp. Its description in RNAcentral is "bacterial SSU rRNA". It matches the Rfam family "Bacterial small subunit ribosomal RNA", at positions 67 to 778 of the family's 1533-position model. Lineage: Bacteria; Pseudomonadati; Pseudomonadota; Gammaproteobacteria; Vibrionales; Vibrionaceae. The record is from RNAcentral.